AGUGAACGCUGGCGGUAGGCCUAAUACAUGCAAGUCGAACGACAGCACAGUAAGGGUUUGCUCUUGCGGGUGGCGAGUGGCGGACGGGUGAGGAAUACAUCGGAAUCUUCUUUUUCGUGGGGGAUAACGUAGGGAAACUUACGCUACUACCUCAUACGACCUACGGGUGAAAUCAGUGGAUCUUCAGACCUUUCCCGACUGAUUGAGCCGAGGUCGGGUUAGCUAGUUGGGUGGGUAAAGGCCCGCCUAGGCGACGGUCCGUAGCUCGUCUGAGGGGAUGGUCAGGCCCCAUGGAACUGGAGACAGGUCCAGGCUCCUAAGGGAGGGAACAGUGGGGAAAUUUGGAGAAUGGGGGCAAGCCUGAUCCAGCCAUCCCGCGGUGGGGAAGAAGGCCUACGGGUUGUAAAGCCUUUUUGUUGGGAAAGAAAAGCAGCAGUUUAAUACCCCGCUGUUCUGACGGUACCCAAAGAAUAAGCACCGGCUAACUUCGUG
RNAcentral lists this ribosomal RNA (492 nucleotides) under uncultured bacterium. RNAcentral describes it as "partial 16S ribosomal RNA". It matches the Rfam family "Bacterial small subunit ribosomal RNA", at positions 29 to 507 of the family's 1533-position model. The record is from RNAcentral.